AAUCUGAUAUAUAUAUGUAGGGAAGAUCUUUGCUGAAAAGUCUUCUUACGAGCCCGAAUCCCGAUCUUCUACAGUUGCAGCAUCAGGGAAAGUCCUUGUUCCUGGCAGCCAGAGUGGUAGCUCCUCAUCCUCAACUGAACAAUUGGAUGUUGCUGAUACAGUUCCAGAAAAUUCCCCGGUAUGUUACGUGCUACAGGUAUCAAUUAUCGGGAGUGGGCUCCUGGUGCCAAGAUCGAGGAGCCUUCUAAAAGAAAGGAGAAUCCCUUCGGCAACACAUAAUUGAUGGAUGUAUGGCAGAACAUUUUUCUGCCAAAGCUGCAAAUUCUGACGUUUUGUGUAAACUGUUUCCUUCAUCAAAUCCAACUGAAGGUAUAAAAGUCAGUAUCACAACAGUAUGUGAGGAAUGUAACCACCUUAAAUACCUCUCUAAUCUUCUUCAAGGCUCCAUAUUUAUAUAUAUACA
Molecule: long non-coding RNA, 463 nt
Organism: Nicotiana attenuata
Lineage: Eukaryota; Viridiplantae; Streptophyta; Magnoliopsida; Solanales; Solanaceae
Exons: 3
Source: RefSeq, a predicted model, not a curated record